AUGCUGUUCAGCUUUACAUAUGACUCUUGUCCAGUUCCACUUAUACUGCUUUAGCCCUGACCUAAAUUUUCCUCAUGCCAGGAACUGAUUCCAAAGCUCUUAAUGCUGUUUUUAAUCCCUCUCCAGUCAGUGGCUGCACAUGCUGAGGAAAGUGAGAGAAGUAAGGAUUUUUAGUUUGAUCUACAUUUCAUUCACUGGGUCCACCACCAAUGCCAGUACCAGACUGACGAAAGUGCAUUAUUAUGCCUUUAUUCAGAGUGUUUCUUCCCCCGCGUACCCGUGGAAACGACAAAAGAGCCCGACACCUUGCAUCACUGACAGGGACCCCUUCCCCGAACCCACUGACAAAGAACCAGUAGCAUCAAAGAUCAGUGAUGUGGGCCCCCCAGCCCUCCUGCUCAAUGACCAAGACAACCCUGCCAGCCGAAACACCUUUAACAGGGCCAAAGCAGCUAAAAUGUCCCAGCGGCCAGUGAGGAGUGGAACGCUGGGGCUCCCGCAACGAUCACCUGAUUGUCUUCGCCAUGGCAACAGCAGCGAUGCCCGGGCAGUGAGAGCAGUAUGCCUGCUGAUGGGUGGAGCUGCUGCUACCUCUGCCCUGGGCUACCUGGGCACUAUCUCUCCCACCCCACACACCACCAACACAGCAGACUUGACCGCAGCUGGAGACCUCUCAGGACUGGGAUCAGCGGGAGCACACCACACCUGCAGCCAGGCCGCUGACACCCCAAAUUUCCACAGCUUUGACUUUGAGGGUGACUCUGACUUUGACGCAUUUGAUUGUGGGGGAUUUGCCUUCUAAAGCAUAUCUUGAUAUAUUAACUUCUUAUCAGAAGCAAAAUGCAACCCUCUUAAAUACAGCUGUGCUUUCAUAGCUUAGAUAUGAUUUAUAGAAUAAAAGUUGCCGUCACCAAGAAUGUUUUUGUGUG
This 929-nucleotide long non-coding RNA is filed under the name Scleropages formosus (Asian bonytongue). RNAcentral's name for it is "lncRNA (ENSSFOG00015032798.1)". Lineage: Eukaryota; Metazoa; Chordata; Actinopteri; Osteoglossiformes; Osteoglossidae. The record is from RNAcentral.